This 1246-nucleotide ribosomal RNA is filed under the name Sesame phyllody phytoplasma. RNAcentral describes it as "bacterial SSU rRNA". It matches the Rfam family "Bacterial small subunit ribosomal RNA", at positions 153 to 1399 of the family's 1533-position model. Lineage: Bacteria; Bacillati; Mycoplasmatota; Mollicutes; Acholeplasmatales; Acholeplasmataceae. The record is from RNAcentral.
GAAACGACUGCUAAGACUGGAUAGGAAGAUAAAAGGCAUCUUUUAUCUUUUAAAAGACCUAGUAAUAGGUAUGCUUUAGGAGGGGCUUGCGCCAUAUUAGUUAGUUGGUAGGGUAAUGGCCUACCAAGACGAUGAUGUGUAGCUGGACUGAGAGGUUGAACAGCCACAUUGGGACUGAGACACGGCCCAAACUCCUACGGGAGGCAGCAGUAGGGAAUUUUCGGCAAUGGAGGAAACUCUGACCGAGCAACGCCGCGUGAAUGACGAAGUACUUCGGUAUGUAAAGUUCUUUUAUCAAGGAAGAAAAGCAAAUGGCGAACCAUUUGUUUGCCGGUACUUGAUGAAUAAGCCCCGGCUAAUUAUGUGCCAGCAGCCGCGGUAAGACAUAAGGGGCAAGUGUUAUCCGGAAUUAUUGGGCGUAAAGGGUGCGUAGGCGGUCUAGUAAGUCAGUGGUGUAAUGGCAACGCUUAACGUUGUCCGGCUAUUGAAACUGCUAAACUUGAGUUAGAUAGAGGCGAGUGGAAUUCCAUGUGUAGCGGUAAAAUGCGUAAAUAUAUGGAGGAACACCAGAGGCGUAGGCGGCUCGCUGGGUCUUAACUGACGCUGAGGCACGAAAGCGUGGGGAGCAAACAGGAUUAGAUACCCUGGUAGUCCACGCCGUAAACGAUGAGUACUAAGUGUCGGGUUAAACCGGUACUGAAGUUAACACAUUAAGUACUCCGCCUGAGUAGUACGUACGCAAGUAUGAAACUUAAAGGAAUUGACGGGACUCCGCACAAGCGGUGGAUCAUGUUGUUUAAUUCGAAGAUACCCGAAAAACCUUACCAGGUCUUGACAUGUUUUUGCAAAAUGAUAGUAAUAUCGUGGAGGUUACCAGAAACACAGGUGGUGCAUGGUUGUCGUCAGCUCGUGUCGUGAGAUGUUAGGUUAAGUCCUAAAACGAGCGAAACCCUUAUCGUUAGUUGCCAGCACGUUAUGGUGGGGACUUUAACGAGACUGCCAAUGAUAAAUUGGAGGAAGGUGAGGAUCACGUCAAAUCAGCAUGCCCCUUAUGACCUGGGCUACAAACGUGAUACAAUGGCUGUUACAAAGGGUAGCUGAAACGCAAGUUCUUGGCCGAUCCCCAAAAACAGUCCCAGUCCGGACUGAAGUCUGCAACUCGACUUCAUGAAGUUGGAAUCGCUAGUAAUCGCGAAUCAGCAUGUCGCGGUGAAUACGUUCUCGGGUUUGUACACACCGCCCGUCA